UGGCAUACAACCCGUUUUAUGUG
RNAcentral lists this non-coding RNA (23 nucleotides) under Arabidopsis thaliana (thale cress). Lineage: Eukaryota; Viridiplantae; Streptophyta; Magnoliopsida; Brassicales; Brassicaceae. The record is from RNAcentral.